CGACCGGCGCACGGGUGAGUAACGCGUAUGUAAUCUACCUGUAACAGAGGGAUAACCCGGAGAAAUCCGGACUAAUACCUCAUAGCACAUAUUAUUCGCAUGAAUUUUAUGUUAAAGAGACUCGGUUACAGAUGAACAUGCGUUCCAUUAGCUAGUUGGCGGGGUUACGGCCCACCAAGGCAACGAUGGGUAGCCGGUCUGGGAGGAUGACCGGCCACACUGGAACUGGAACACGGUCCAG
Molecule: ribosomal RNA, 241 nt
Filed under: uncultured bacterium
Lineage: Bacteria
Description: partial 16S ribosomal RNA
Rfam family: Bacterial small subunit ribosomal RNA
Source: RNAcentral